Leguminivora glycinivorella is the source of this 1226-nucleotide long non-coding RNA. RefSeq lists it as uncharacterized. The transcript has 2 exons. The record is from RefSeq and is a predicted model, not a curated record. Lineage: Eukaryota; Metazoa; Arthropoda; Insecta; Lepidoptera; Tortricidae.
CGUAGCAGAUUUUUUGAUAGUCGUAAUUAAAUAUUUUGGAUAGAUUUAAUUUUUGAAUGAAACACUUCCUUCUCGUUCAUUGCAUUAUCUGUUGCACUUCAAAUGCACAUAUUUAUGUUUAUCUGUUGUAGGGUUGCCAUACAACAAGUAUUAUUCGAAAUUGUAGGUAUUUUGGCUGUCAUUCCAGGAAAACUUUGUAUAGUUUUGAUAUACUUUAAGUAUUGAUUUUUGGAAAAUAUAAUAUUUUAGAGACAUGAUAACAAAUGUUAUCAUAGGUUUUUUAAGGCUGUUCUGGAAUGAUAUUUGUUAGGUUUUGUUUACUUCAAGGUCUGAUACAGAAACUGGAGUAAUUUUCAUUUAAUGAAUUAGAGUAUUUUAUUGUUUAUUCGUUUGCCACCCGGCUUUUGUUUUGGGUCCUUUAAAUUCGAGAUCAUUCAGUGCGCCGUUCUUUCUGUGACGAGAUCCUCUUGUAUAGUGAUCGGACGGCCGUAUAAGGGCCUGGAGCCCGGCAUGCCACGUGCUGCCGUGGCGUUCCAUAUUUUGUGUGGUGCGUUCUGUCAGUCUGACUGGCAGAAACAUGCUAAGGGUGGGAGUGCUCCUUGGAGAUCCUCGGUCUGCAGUCUGCAGGUCUCCGGUGAGCUCGCUUACAUUUUUUUGUUUAGUCUAUCACAGUGUGUGAGGGCACUCGACUAAUGUGACCAAUUUAUUUGUUUCAUAGGAGUCGGGAAGAAGUAAAGAAUUAGAAAAUUGCAGAAGUAGAUAAUUAAACAAGAACCUUUACAAUUUCGAUGUGCAAGGAAACUUCUUUGGCUUACUGGCGCAAGGUGUCUUUGGACCUUGUUUUCGUAUGGAAGGGUCAGCCCUGUCCACGUGGCGAGGGGGCGUCAGCACCGGAGUCCGGGGAGCAGCCGGCUCAUCCCUGACAAGGUGUGUCUCCUGCCCGUUUCCUGCCGGUAAUGCUGUGUAAUUCAGGUUUUUAAUUUCUGUGUAAAGUAAUUUCUGAUUUCAUUUAUUUUGAGAAUUCUGGUGCAUAACUUUAGGUAAAUUCAUAUUUAGUUUUUGUAGAAUAAAUGGUUGUAAGAAACCUUUUCCUGGACCCUCUUAAAGCGGCCCAGCUUUACCACUGAGCGUAGUUCAUAUUUUUAUAUGGUGUCGAAUUUAGUAUAACUCACUAAUUUCUGUUUAGGCAAGAAUUAGCUUAUAUUUAAUAAAGUUAUAAAAUGUUA